AGUGUGUGAGAAAAUAAUCAUUUAUAAAAUGUCGAAAAAUUUCAUGAAAAAAAGUCAUAGUCUGUCUAUAAUUCAUCCCGAUCAGUCAGGGUUUUAUCUCCAGGCGACAACUCUCUGGUAACCUACAGCUACGGUUCAGGAAGGGGCUACGGUGUAUAAGGGAUCUUUUUCAAAACGAUAACUUAAUGUCUUUUGAGCACAUUGUUAGAGAACAUGACAUACCUAGUGUCUAGUCUUCCCAUCUCGCCCAAUAGAUGUUUGGAUUGAGGAAUCUUUAGAUUGUGGUCAGAUAUCUAGAUUGUUCAGUGAAAUUCAAAGGGUGGCAUCGCCUUCACUGAACCAUCUCAGGGAACAAUGGGGUAAAGACUUUGGAGCUGAUUUUUCAGAUAAAGUUUGGCGGUUUGCAAUUGAAUAGAUCCAUUCACCAUCCAUCUGUAUAAGACAUGGAUUAUUACAAUUUAAGAUAAUUCACAGACUCCACUUCUCAAAAAGCAAACUCGUAAAGAUGUUCCCAGGAACGGACCCAACUUGCUCCUGUUGCCAUCAAGACAAAGCCACCCUUUAUCACAUGUAGCUCCUCCAGAAGUCUCACUGUCAUUGGUUCAAGCUGAUGCAUUGGCUUUUUCUUCACUACUGGCACAAAGGCUAAUACUGUUACAGUGGAAAUCCAACAAGCCACCAUCGCACAUCAUUGUCUUCCACCUGUAAAACUGUAGAAAAUAGAAUGGAACCCUAAAAA
Molecule: long non-coding RNA, 739 nt
Organism: Sebastes umbrosus (honeycomb rockfish)
Lineage: Eukaryota; Metazoa; Chordata; Actinopteri; Perciformes; Sebastidae
Exons: 2
Source: RefSeq, a predicted model, not a curated record